GUGGGGAAUCUUCCGCAAUGGACGAAAGUCUGACGGAGCAACGCCGCGUGAGUGAAGAAGGUUCUCGGAUCGUAAAGCUCUUUCGUUAGGGACGAACGUGCUCUUUGUGAAUAAUGAGCAGUAAUGACGGUACCUAAAUAAGAAGCCACGGCUAACUACGUGCCAGCAGCCGCGGUAAUACGUAGGUGGCAAGCGUUGUCCGGAAUUAUUGGGCGUAAAGCGCGCGCAGGCGGGAUAUCAAGUCAGUCUUAAAAGUGCGAGGCUCAACCUCGUGAGGGGACAGAAACUGGUAUUCUUGAGUGUCGGAGAGGAAAGUGGAAUUCCAAGUGUAGCGGUGAAAUGCGUAGAGAUUUGGAAGAACACCAGUGGCGAAGGCGACUUUCUGGACGAUGUCUGACGCUGAGGCGCGAAAGCUAGGGGAGCGAACGGGAUUAGAAACCCCUGUAGUCC
RNAcentral lists this ribosomal RNA (450 nucleotides) under uncultured bacterium. Its description in RNAcentral is "partial 16S ribosomal RNA". It matches the Rfam family "Bacterial small subunit ribosomal RNA", at positions 354 to 796 of the family's 1533-position model. The record is from RNAcentral.